GGGUCAGUAGGUUCGUCGUGCCACCGGUACGUACUGGUCUCACUGAUUCCUCCUUCCUGAAGAACCGUAAUGCCAUUAAUUUGGUGUUGCGGGGAAACAGGACUGUUACUUUGAAAAAAUUAUAGUGUUUAAAGCAAGCUAACGCUAGAAUACAUUAGCAUGGAAUAAUGAAAUAGGACGAUCGAUCCUAUUUUGUUGGUUUCUAGGAUUGACGUA
This 216-nucleotide ribosomal RNA is filed under the name Glomeromycotina sp. RNAcentral's name for it is "partial small subunit ribosomal RNA". The stretch from base 40 to 216 matches the Rfam family "Eukaryotic small subunit ribosomal RNA", at positions 686 to 864 of the family's 1831-position model. Lineage: Eukaryota; Fungi; Glomeromycota. The record is from RNAcentral.